GUGAGGAAUAUUGCGCAAUGGAGGCAACUCUGACGCAGCCAUGCCGCGUGCAGGAAGAAGGCGCUACGCGUUGUAAACUGCUUUUAACCGGGAAGAAACCCCAGGACGUGUCCUGGGUUGACGGUACCGGAGGAAUAAGCACCGGCUAACUUCGUGCCAGCAGCCGCGGUAAUACGAAGGGUGCAAGCGUUAUCCGGAUUCAUUGGGUUUAAAGGGUGCGUAGGCGGAGUGUUAAGUCAGUGGUGAAAUCCUGCAGCUUAACUGUAGACUUGCCAUUGAUACUGGCGCUCUUGAGUGCGCUUGAAGUGGGCGGAAUGUGCCGUGUAGCGGUGAAAUGCUUAGAUAUGGCACAGAACACCAAUUGCGAAGGCAGCUCACUAAGGCGAUACUGACGCUGAGGCACGAAAGCGUGGGGAUCGAACAGGAUUAGAAACCCUAGUAGUCC
Molecule: ribosomal RNA, 445 nt
Filed under: uncultured bacterium
Lineage: Bacteria
Description: partial 16S ribosomal RNA
Rfam family: Bacterial small subunit ribosomal RNA
Source: RNAcentral